Molecule: ribosomal RNA, 504 nt
Filed under: uncultured bacterium
Lineage: Bacteria
Description: partial 16S ribosomal RNA
Rfam family: Bacterial small subunit ribosomal RNA
Source: RNAcentral
AUUGAACGCUGGCGGCAGGCCUAACACAUGCAAGUCGAACGGUAGCACAGAGAGCUUGCUCUCGGGUGACGAGUGGCGGACGGGUGAGUAACGUCUGGGAAACUGCCCGAUGGAGGGGGAUAACUACUGGAAACGGUAGCUAAUACAGCAUAACGUCGCAAGACCAAAGUGGGGGACCUUCGGGCCUCACACCAUCGGAUGUGCCCAUAUGGGAUUAGCUAGUAGGUGGGGUAAUGGCUCACCUAGGCGACGAUCCCUAGCUGGUCUGAGAGGAUGACCAGCCACACUGGAACUGAGACACGGUCCAGACUCCUACGGGAGGCAGCAGUGGGGAAUAUUGCACAAUGGGCGCAAGCCUGAUGCAGCCAUGCCGCGUGUAUGAAGAAGGCCUUCGGGUUGUAAAGUACUUUCAGCGGGGAGGAAGGCGGUGAAGUUAAUAGCUUCACCGAUUGACGUUACCCGCAGAAGAAGCACCGGCUAACUCCGUGCCAGCCGCCGCGGUAA